This 253-nucleotide ribosomal RNA is filed under the name uncultured bacterium. Its description in RNAcentral is "partial 16S ribosomal RNA". It matches the Rfam family "Bacterial small subunit ribosomal RNA", at positions 524 to 776 of the family's 1533-position model. The record is from RNAcentral.
UACAGAGGGUGCGAACGUUGCUCGGAAUUACUGGGCGUAAAGCGUGCGUAGGCGGUCUUUUAAGUCCGUUGUGAAAGCCCUGGGCUCAACCUGGGAAUGGCAGUGGAUACUGGAAGGCUGGAGUACGGUAGAGGAGGGUGGAAUUCCCGGUGUAGCGGUGAAAUGCGUAGAGAUCGGGAGGAACAUCAGUGGCGAAGGCGGCCCUCUGGACCAGUACUGACGCUGAGGCACGAAAGCGUGGGGAGCAAACAGG